AUUUAAAUAGCUUAAAAUUAAAGCAUAGUAUUGAAGUCACUAGUAUGGUUUUACCUUUAGAUA
RNAcentral lists this transfer RNA (63 nucleotides) under Lipothrix lubbocki. RNAcentral's name for it is "tRNA-Phe". The record is from RNAcentral. Lineage: Eukaryota; Metazoa; Arthropoda; Collembola; Symphypleona; Sminthuridae.